Anopheles stephensi (Asian malaria mosquito) is the source of this 2564-nucleotide long non-coding RNA. RefSeq lists it as uncharacterized. The transcript is spliced from 3 exons. NCBI's taxonomy places the organism in Eukaryota, Metazoa, Arthropoda, Insecta, Diptera, Culicidae. The record is from RefSeq and is a predicted model, not a curated record.
UAAAACAUUGCUUCUCCAAAUUUUUAAGCUUUUUUUUUACUUGAUCACAAAACCUGCCGAGCAAAUCACACAAAGUAUGUGAAGUACUGAACUAAGCUGUGUGUACAGCCGAGCUGUCUUCCGGUUAAAUGAUUCGUGCCAAGCUUGGUUUGAGCUGUCAUCAAUGAAAAACCAUGUGGUAAACGAAAACAAUACCGCGACACCGUGAAUGCUAUUAUGCAUUUUCAAAGAGUUUUUUUUAUUGUGUUCAAGUGAAUAAAAUGUAGAGCGCUUACGUCGCUGUGCCUCGAUAUCCCGGUUAUGCUGUGUGAAGACCGGUUCGAUUAUUCGUGCCUAGCUUGGUUUGAGCUGUCAUCAAUGACAAUCCAUGUGUGAAUAAAUUGUAGAAUGCUUACGUCGCUGUGCUUCAGUACCCCGGUUCUGCUGUGUGAAGACCGGUUCCGCUAUUGCCUCGCGUUCCAUAUUCGGAUGUGCGAUCCUGACUCUCCCGCAUGCCGGUCCUGUGUCGAGGUAAUAUAAACAUUGUUCUCUUCCUAGAUUUGGGUAAAAUGUUUGAAUUUUUGGAAGACGAAUAUGCAAUGCUAAUAAUUUUAAAAGGUUUAUUGAAUGGUUAUAUUUAUAUCGUUAUUUCGCUAUUCCUUUUUUCUCGAUGUUGUUUGAAUCCGCCGCUACUCCUAAAAAUGUUGAAGUAUGAUUUUUUUAAGUGAAAUAUAUCACAAUUUCUUACAUCCCAGUGGUAUUUUCCCUUUUUUUCAAUGACUGCCUACCAAGGUAAGGUUUGCACUUUUAUUUUGAACAUUUUUUAUUGUAGCAAUACGGCCAGAAAAUUGUAAACAAAACACAUAAUUUAUUUUUCGCUUAUAGAAUUUAAUAGAUUUAUUAAACAUAUUUCUUUUGUUUCCCUAUUCAAUUCCAUAAAUCCACAAUUGCCUUGUACCUAUUUUCGGCAACCUUUAAAACGAAAAUAAAACUAUUUAUCGGAUUUUUGAAGUCUCAGCGUGCUGUGACUUAUUUUCAAAAUAAUUUUUUAAAACAUUGUUCUUUUCCUAGAUUUGGGUAAAAUGUCUGUAUAUUUGGAAGAAAAAUAUGCAAUGUUAAUAAUUGUAAACAGUUUAUUGUUUUAAUAAACUUCUUUAAACAAUUAUUUUUUAUUUAUUAAUUAAUUAAAACGGACACAUGCCGUAUUGUUGGGGGGUCUUUAAACAAUUAGUUAAAAAAUAAUUUUGUGUUCUCAUUUUCAAAUCAACUGCCAUCAAACUGUCAAAAAUGACAUCUCAGAAUCUGUCAAAGUUUGAGCCGUUCAAAAUCGCAUGUAUCUUGUAUCCGUUUUCGGCCUUGUUUAAAAUGAAAAAUAAAUUAUGUAUCGGAUUUUUAAAAUUUCAAUAAUUAUUCCAAAAUUUUUCAAAUAGUUUUAUUUUCCUAAAACAUUGCUUCUCCAAAUUUUUAAGCUUUUUUUUUACUUGAUCACAAAACCUGCCGAGCAAAUCACACAAAGUAUGUGAAGUACUGAACUAAGCUGUGUGUACAGCCGAGCUGUCUUCCGGUUAAAUGAUUCGUGCCAAGCUUGGUUUGAGCUGUCAUCAAUGAAAAACCAUGUGGUAAACGAAAACAAUACCGCGACACCGUGAAUGCUAUUAUGCAUUUUCAAAGAGUUUUUUUUAUUGUGUUCAAGUGAAUAAAAUGUAGAGCGCUUACGUCGCUGUGCCUCGAUAUCCCGGUUAUGCUGUGUGAAGACCGGUUCGAUUAUUCGUGCCUAGCUUGGUUUGAGCUGUCAUCAAUGACAAUCCAUGUGUGAAUAAAUUGUAGAAUGCUUACGUCGCUGUGCUUCAGUACCCCGGUUCUGCUGUGUGAAGACCGGUUCCGCUAUUGCCUCGCGUUCCAUAUUCGGAUGUGCGAUCCUGACUCUCCCGCAUGCCGGUCCUGUGUCGAGGUAAUAUAAACAUUGUUCUCUUCCUAGAUUUGGGUAAAAUGUUUGAAUUUUUGGAAGACGAAUAUGCAAUGCUAAUAAUUUUAAAAGGUUUAUUGAAUGGUUAUAUUUAUAUCGUUAUUUCGCUAUUCCUUUUUUCUCGAUGUUGUUUGAAUCCGCCGCUACUCCUAAAAAUGUUGAAGUAUGAUUUUUUUAAGUGAAAUAUAUCACAAUUUCUUACAUCCCAGUGGUAUUUUCCCUUUUUUUCAAUGACUGCCUACCAAGGUAAGGUUUGCACUUUUAUUUUGAACAUUUUUUAUUGUAGCAAUACGGCCAGAAAAUUGUAAACAAAACACAUAAUUUAUUUUUCGCUUAUAGAAUUUAAUAGAUUUAUUAAACAUAUUUCUUUUGUUUCCCUAUUCAAUUCCAUAAAUCCACAAUUGCCUUGUACCUAUUUUCGGCAACCUUUAAAACGAAAAUAAAACUAUUUAUCGGAUUUUUGAAGUCACAGCGUGCUGUGACUUAUUUUCAAAAUAAUUUUUUAAAACAUUGUUCUUUUCCUAGAUUUGGGUAAAAUGUCUGUAUAUUUGGAAGAAAAAUAUGCAAUGUUAAUAAUUGUAAACAGUUUAUUGUUUUAAUAAACUUCUUUAAACAAUUA